GGGGACCCGCAAGCGGUGGAUGAUGUGGAUUAAUUCGAUGCAACGCGAAAAACCUUACCUACCCUUGACAUGGUCGGAACCCCGCUGAGAGGUGGGGGUGCUCGAAAGAGAACCGAUACACAGGUGCUGCAUGGCUGUCGUCAGCUCGUGUCGUGAGAUGUUGGGUUAAGUCCCGCAACGAGCGCAACCCUUGUCCUUAGUUGCUACCCGCAAGGGAGCACUCUAAGGAGACUGCCGGUGACAAACCGGAGGAAGGUGGGGAUGACGUCAAGUCCUCAUGGCCCUUAUGGGUAGGGCUUCACACGUCAUACAAUGGUCGGUACAGAGGGUCGCCAACCCGCGAGGGGGAGCUAAUCCCAGAAAACCGAUCGUAGUCUGGAUUGCAGUCUGCAACUCGACUGCAUGAAGCUGGAAUCGCUAGUAAUCGCGGAUCAGCAUGUCGCGGUGAAUACGUUCCCGGGUCUUGUACACACC
This 474-nucleotide ribosomal RNA is filed under the name uncultured bacterium. Its description in RNAcentral is "bacterial SSU rRNA". It matches the Rfam family "Bacterial small subunit ribosomal RNA", at positions 915 to 1391 of the family's 1533-position model. The record is from RNAcentral.